This 423-nucleotide ribosomal RNA is filed under the name uncultured bacterium. RNAcentral's name for it is "partial 16S ribosomal RNA". It matches the Rfam family "Bacterial small subunit ribosomal RNA", at positions 359 to 774 of the family's 1533-position model. The record is from RNAcentral.
GAAUUUUGGACAAUGGGCGAAAGCCUGAUCCAGCAAUGCCGCGUGCAGGAUGAAGGCCGUCGGGUUGUAAACUGCUUGUGUACGGAACGAAAAGCUUUGGGUUAAUACCGUGGAGUCAUGACGGUACCGUAAGAAUAAGCACCGGCUCAAUACGUGCCAGCAGCCUCGGUAACACGAAGGGUGCAAGAGUUAAUCGGAAUUACGGGGCGUAAAGCGUGCUCAGGCGGUUUUGUAAUACAGAGGUGAAAUCCCCGGGCUCAACCUGGGAACUGCCUUUGUGACUGCAAGGCUAGAGUACGGCAGAGGGGGGUGGAAUUCCGCGUGUAGCAGUGAAAUGCGUAGAUAUGCGGAGGAACACCGAUGGCGAAGGCAACCCCCUGGGCCUGUACUGACGCUCAUGCACGAAAGCGUGGGGAGCAAACA